Molecule: ribosomal RNA, 620 nt
Filed under: Drosophila melanogaster (fruit fly)
Lineage: Eukaryota; Metazoa; Arthropoda; Insecta; Diptera; Drosophilidae
Description: partial 12S ribosomal RNA
Source: RNAcentral
AUUGGUGCCAGCAGUCGCGGUUAUACCAUUAAUACAAAUAAAUUUUUUUAGUAUUAAUUAAAUUAAAUUUAUUAAUAAUAAUAAAAUUAAAUAUAUUAAGUGAAAUUUUAUAUUUAAAUUAUUAUAUAAAAAUGUAAUUGAGGUUAAAAAAUUUUAAUAAAAAACUAGGAUUAGAUACCCUAUUAUUUAAAAUGUAAAUAAAUUGCUAAAGUAGUAAUAGUUAUGUUCUUGAAACUUAAAAAAUUUGGCGGUAUUUUAGUCUAUCUAGAGGAACCUGUUUUUUAAUCGAUAAUCCACGAUGGACCUUACUUAAAUUUGUAAUCAGUUUAUAUACCGUCGUUAUCAGAAUAUUUUAUAAGAAUAAUAAUAUUCAAUAAUUUUAAUAAAAAUUUAUAUCAGAUCAAGGUGUAGCUUAUAUUUAAGUAAUAAUGGGUUACAAUAAAUUUAUUUAUAUGAAUAAAAUUAUGAAAAAAUUUUUGAAAGUGGAUUUAGUAGUAAAAUUAUAAAGAUUAAUAAUUUGAUUUUAGCUCUAAAAUAUGUACACAUCGCCCGUCGCUCUUAUUAUUAAGGUAAGAUAAGUCGUAACAUAGUAGAUGUACUGGAAAGUGUAUCUAGAAUGA